Molecule: ribosomal RNA, 2045 nt
Filed under: Staphylococcus aureus
Lineage: Bacteria; Bacillati; Bacillota; Bacilli; Caryophanales; Staphylococcaceae
Description: bacterial LSU rRNA
Rfam family: Bacterial large subunit ribosomal RNA
Source: RNAcentral
AGAUUAAGUUAUUAAGGGCGCACGGUGGAUGCCUUGGCACUAGAAGCCGAUGAAGGACGUUACUAACGACGAUAUGCUUUGGGGAGCUGUAAGUAAGCUUUGAUCCAGAGAUUUCCGAAUGGGGAAACCCAGCAUGAGUUAUGUCAUGUUAUCGAUAUGUGAAUACAUAGCAUAUCAGAAGGCACACCCGGAGAACUGAAACAUCUUAGUACCCGGAGGAAGAGAAAGAAAAUUCGAUUCCCUUAGUAGCGGCGAGCGAAACGGGAAGAGCCCAAACCAACAAGCUUGCUUGUUGGGGUUGUAGGACACUCUAUACGGAGUUACAAAGGACGACAUUAGACGAAUCAUCUGGAAAGAUGAAUCAAAGAAGGUAAUAAUCCUGUAGUCGAAAAUGUUGUCUCUCUUGAGUGGAUCCUGAGUACGACGGAGCACGUGAAAUUCCGUCGGAAUCUGGGAGGACCAUCUCCUAAGGCUAAAUACUCUCUAGUGACCGAUAGUGAACCAGUACCGUGAGGGAAAGGUGAAAAGCACCCCGGAAGGGGAGUGAAAUAGAACCUGAAACCGUGUGCUUACAAGUAGUCAGAGCCCGUUAAUGGGUGAUGGCGUGCCUUUUGUAGAAUGAACCGGCGAGUUACGAUUUGAUGCAAGGUUAAGCAGUAAAUGUGGAGCCGUAGCGAAAGCGAGUCUGAAUAGGGCGUUUAGUAUUUGGUCGUAGACCCGAAACCAGGUGAUCUACCCUUGGUCAGGUUGAAGUUCAGGUAACACUGAAUGGAGGACCGAACCGACUUACGUUGAAAAGUGAGCGGAUGAACUGAGGGUAGCGGAGAAAUUCCAAUCGAACCUGGAGAUAGCUGGUUCUCUCCGAAAUAGCUUUAGGGCUAGCCUCAAGUGAUGAUUAUUGGAGGUAGAGCACUGUUUGGACGAGGGGCCCCUCUCGGGUUACCGAAUUCAGACAAACUCCGAAUGCCAAUUAAUUUAACUUGGGAGUCAGAACAUGGGUGAUAAGGUCCGUGUUCGAAAGGGAAACAGCCCAGACCACCAGCUAAGGUCCCAAAAUAUAUGUUAAGUGGAAAAGGAUGUGGCGUUGCCCAGACAACUAGGAUGUUGGCUUAGAAGCAGCCAUCAUUUAAAGAGUGCGUAAUAGCUCACUAGUCGAGUGACACUGCGCCGAAAAUGUACCGGGGCUAAACAUAUUACCGAAGCUGUGGAUUGUCCUUUGGACAAUGGUAGGAGAGCGUUCUAAGGGCGUUGAAGCAUGAUCGUAAGGACAUGUGGAGCGCUUAGAAGUGAGAAUGCCGGUGUGAGUAGCGAAAGACGGGUGAGAAUCCCGUCCACCGAUUGACUAAGGUUUCCAGAGGAAGGCUCGUCCGCUCUGGGUUAGUCGGGUCCUAAGCUGAGGCCGACAGGCGUAGGCGAUGGAUAACAGGUUGAUAUUCCUGUACCACCUAUAAUCGUUUUAAUCGAUGGGGGGACGCAGUAGGAUAGGCGAAGCGUGCGAUUGGAUUGCACGUCUAAGCAGUAAGGCUGAGUAUUAGGCAAAUCCGGUACUCGUUAAGGCUGAGCUGUGAUGGGGAGAAGACAUUGAGUCUUCGAGUCGUUGAUUUCACACUGCCGAGAAAAGCCUCUAGAUAGAAAAUAGGUGCCCGUACCGCAAACCGACACAGGUAGUCAAGAUGAGAAUUCUAAGGUGAGCGAGCGAACUCUCGUUAAGGAACUCGGCAAAAUGACCCCGUAACUUCGGGAGAAGGGGUGCUCUUUAGGGUUAACGCCCAGAAGAGCCGCAGUGAAUAGGCCCAAGCGACUGUUUAUCAAAAACACAGGUCUCUGCUAAACCGUAAGGUGAUGUAUAGGGGCUGACGCCUGCCCGGUGCUGGAAGGUUAAGAGGAGUGGUUAGCUUCUGCGAAGCUACGAAUCGAAGCCCCAGUAAACGGCGGCCGUAACUAUAACGGUCCUAAGGUAGCGAAAUUCCUUGUCGGGUAAGUUCCGACCCGCACGAAAGGCGUAACGAUUUGGGCACUGUCUCAACGAGAGACUCGGUGAAAUC